This is a regulatory RNA element of 105 nucleotides. It matches the Rfam family "TPP riboswitch aptamer (THI element)". Rfam says of the family: Vitamin B(1) in its active form thiamin pyrophosphate (TPP) is an essential coenzyme that is synthesised by coupling of pyrimidine and thiazole moieties in bacteria. The previously detected thiamin-regulatory element, thi box was extended, resulting in a new, highly conserved RNA secondary structure, the THI element, which is widely distributed in eubacteria and also occurs in some archaea. The record is from Rfam.
AUCGGAAUACCGGGGAGCUUAUCGCUGAGAGUAGUUGCUGCAGCAACUUAACCCGUCAAACCUGAUUCGGAUAAUGCCGACGAAGGGAGUGCCGUUUAAUAUUUU